Trachymyrmex septentrionalis is the source of this 2622-nucleotide long non-coding RNA. RefSeq lists it as uncharacterized. The record is from RefSeq and is a predicted model, not a curated record. The transcript has 4 exons. Lineage: Eukaryota; Metazoa; Arthropoda; Insecta; Hymenoptera; Formicidae.
CGGACGGACUGAUCGCUAGGAUGAUAUCCGACUUCGCGGUUCGAUCGGCUUUUUCCCAUGCUGCUCUGGCAGCGGUGGCGUUCGGAUUUCCCUCGACGGCUUCCGGCUUCGCCUCUUCUCCGUUUACAAUGGACCACGAGUCGCUCUUGACGAGCAGGGCCUCCAUUUGAAUGCGCCACGUAUCAUAAUUGUCCUUUCCAAGCGGCUCGAUGCGGACGGUGUGCUGUGAUGCCAUCCUGUUCCGCGCUCGUGUUACUCUCGAUGUUCUCGAAAAAGGAAUCGGUUAUUAUUCUCUUUUUCCUUGUGUUCACACACGCACUUCGCGUUCACUUUGUAAUUAAUUCACACGCACUUCGCGUUUACUUUGUAAUUAAUUUACGCGUCGUUCUGGGCCCAUAACCUGUUGACGAAGCUCAAGUGAAUGCGAACACACAGAGCGUGUGCAGAGAACUAACAAGACAUACGAUUUAAACAAACGUGAUCGUUACGUGCGUCGAUAUUGAUUAAACAAGCGUUGUCGUUACGUGCGUCGAUAUUGAUUAAACAAAAAAAGAAACAGCGCGCAUCGCUGAUAUCCGAAGUUAGUAGUUACACAAGAUGUAUUGCUCGUAUAUAAGUGCCAGGACAAAUCUCAACAAUAUCCUUCUUACUACACAUAACAUAAAUAAAUAAUUACACGGCAUACUUAAGCAUCUAAUCAGUUAUGUAAUAUUGAACAAUCGGAUAUCUAGAGUCGACGUACAAUUACAGCAUAAUCUCCAACAUCUAUUUAACAAGCUAGCGUCCAUUGUACAUGUAUAUACAUGUAUACUUAGUAAUUUAAUAGUACUGUUAAGCAGUGAUACUUAAACAACGCUAACUGGAAGAAUAAUCCGGCUGGAAAUAUAAGCCCAUCUUAAUCGUCUCUUCAAACGACUGGCUGUGUGCAUAAGACUUCAUACAAUUUGCCUGUGUUAUGUAAGAUAAAACCAGGCAACAUUUAUCACUGAUUCAUGCAAAUUCCUUUGACAUUUAACAAUAAAAAAGAUCACGUUGCAUUUCCAUUUUACGAUUACGUCAACGUGUGGAUAUCGUUCGUACCAUUUUCCAGUCCCGACCGCAGCGAAUCAGCCUCGUCCUUCCUUGAGCAGCACAGCUGCAUGCUUUCGUCUUUUACGUCUCUUUCCUGGGAACAUCGCGAAUGAAAAAUGAUGCCAGUCGCGCGCGUCGGACUUGGGCGGGCAUUACAUAAAGAAACGAGAUCAGUUCGCCGCGCGAAGGCGGCUACAGAAAGCUUUUUCCCAUAAAAAGUACCGGAAGAGAGAGAGAGGGGAGGGGGGGGAGGAAAGGAGAGAAUGAAAGAGAGAGAGAGAGAAACUGCCCUCGGAAACGACUUCUCCACCGAGUAGCCGGAGCUAUCCCGGCGGUAUAUAAACAACGCAUGCAUAUAACGACGAUGUUGCAGGUGCUGGAAGUUAGCGGCCCAGCGGCAAAUAACGCAAAAAGUAUGACGUAUUCGAAACAGGAUUAUCAGAGCGUAAUAAUUAUUGAAGAACCGAAAAAGGAAGCUGUAAAGCUGUGCGCAAUAUGAAGUAUUACGCGUACAAUACGGAAUGAUAAGGCACGGAUUGGAUAAUCGCUUUGUAUGGAGUCUCGUUGAUUCGUUCUCGACUUUUUGAUUUACAGCGUUAAAUCAUUAUGCAAACGAUCACCUGUACGAUUACAACGUGAAUCUGCAUGAGGAUGUUAUCAUAAACAAAAAAGUAUUUUUGCAAACACUGUUUGCUGUGUAUUGAACACACGCAUAAUAAAUCUUUGUUUCGCAGUGAUUUCUGUCAUCAGGAGAAAUUCCAGUGCUUCCCCGAAGACUGCGUGCUGACCUCUCGCAAGCACGCGGUUAACUUCUAUGUAUGGCACGUGGCUAUUGAUUUCCCAACGGUACCGGAAACCGGAAAACCGCUGCGCUCGAAAGAGAGAAACCGAAAAGAAAAUCGAAACGCCGAACUAGAUAAAGUAAUCUUCCAAUUGUGCCAGAUAGCUGAAACAAUUGUGCAGUUUAUCCCAUUGCGUCACGAGAUACUGUUUUAACCAUAUCGAGCGGUGAAAUGCACAAAGGGAGUAACUACCGGCACGUAUUCGGUUUUACGAUACCAUUCUGAUGUUGCAUUAAACGCACGCCGCUCGCGAAAGUCUUCAGUGAAGUUUAUCCAUUCUCGCGAUUUACGCGGGACAGGCAUUGUUUCCGUGAAAACGAGGUUUACGAGAAACUAGACAAUGUUAAUAAAUUAAUGGAGCGUGUUUUGAUAUUCUGAUCAUUACUCGCGCGAGGUGACUCGAGAAAGUUACCGUGAACCAAAUAGUCCAAGUUAAUCUCGAGGAUGUUGAGGAGAUUUACGUACUUUGCCUUUAGAAUGCACGGCACACGAAUGGAACAACAGAAUGAGCCAUUAGUUCUACGAUUCUUUUUCUUUUUAUAUCCUUUUAAUUUGCGAACGGAGGAUCUCCCACGUGAUAGUCGAGUUGUCACGCGAUUUCUCACGGAUUCUAAAUACGAUAUCGCAGUGGAGCAUUAGGAGAUGCGAAUACUCGAAUGAUGGGGCUGUAUUUAUACAAAGAUAUAUAUUGCAUCUUAUUAGUAAAUAA